GCGGUUAUACGAGAGGCCCAAGUUGACAGACAUCGGCGUAAAGAGUGGUUAAGUUAAAAUUGUACUAAAGCCGAACAUCCUCCAGGCUGUUAUACGCAUCCGAAGAUAAGAAGUUCAACCACGAAGGUAGCUUUAUUUAAUCUGAACCCACGAAAGCUACGGCACAAACUGGGAUUAGAUACCCCACUAUGCCUAGCCCUAAACAUUGAUAGUAUUAUACACCCACUAUCCGCCUGGGAACUACGAGCAUUAGCUUAAAACCCAAAGGACUUGGCGGUGCUUUAGAUCCACCUAGAGGAGCCUGUUCUAGAACCGAUAACCCCCGUUCAACCUCACCUUUCCUUGUUUUUCCCGCCUAUAUACCGCCGUCGUCAGCUUACCCUGUGAAGGUCAAAUAGUAAGCAAAACUGGUAGAACCCAAAACGUCAGGUCGAGGUGUAGCGUAUGGGAAGGGAAGAAAUGGGCUACAUUCGCUAGCAUAGCGAAUACGGACGAUGCACUGAAACGUACAUCUGAAGGAGGAUUUAGCAGUAAGCAGGAAAUAGAGUGUUCCGCUGAAAUUGGCCCUGAAGCGCGCACACACCGCCCGUCACUCUCCCCAAGCCUACCAACUUAAUUAAUUAAACCACAAUAAUCGCAAAGGGGAGGCAAGUCGUAA
This 658-nucleotide ribosomal RNA is filed under the name Pholis gunnellus (rock gunnel). RNAcentral's name for it is "partial small subunit ribosomal RNA". It matches the Rfam family "Bacterial small subunit ribosomal RNA", at positions 517 to 1491 of the family's 1533-position model. The record is from RNAcentral. Lineage: Eukaryota; Metazoa; Chordata; Actinopteri; Perciformes; Pholidae.